GUGGGGAAUAUUGCACAAUGGGCGCAAGCCUGAUGCAGCAACGCCGCGUGAGGGAUGACGGCCUUCGGGUUGUAAACCUCUUUUAGUAGGGAAGAAGCGAAAGUGACGGUACCUGCAGAAAAAGCACCGGCUAACUACGUGCCAGCAGCCGCGGUAAUACGUAGGGUGCAAGCGUUGUCCGGAAUUAUUGGGCGUAAAGAGCUCGUAGGCGGCUUGUCGCGUCUGCUGUGAAAACCCGAGGCUCAACCUCGGGCCUGCAGUGGGUACGGGCAAGCUAGAGUGCGGUAGGGGAGAUUGGAAUUCCUGGUGUAGCGGUGGAAUGCGCAGAUAUCAGGAGGAACACCGAUGGCGAAGGCAGAUCUCUGGGCCGUAACUGACGCUGAGGAGCGAAAGCAUGGGGAGCGAACAGGAUUAGAAACCCCUGUAGUCC
Molecule: ribosomal RNA, 430 nt
Filed under: uncultured bacterium
Lineage: Bacteria
Description: partial 16S ribosomal RNA
Rfam family: Bacterial small subunit ribosomal RNA
Source: RNAcentral